This 1019-nucleotide ribosomal RNA is filed under the name Salmonella enterica subsp. enterica serovar Alachua. RNAcentral describes it as "bacterial SSU rRNA". It matches the Rfam family "Bacterial small subunit ribosomal RNA", at positions 87 to 1102 of the family's 1533-position model. Lineage: Bacteria; Pseudomonadati; Pseudomonadota; Gammaproteobacteria; Enterobacterales; Enterobacteriaceae. The record is from RNAcentral.
GCUGACGAGUGGCGGACGGGUGAGUAAUGUCUGGGAAACUGCCUGAUGGAGGGGGAUAACUACUGGAAACGGUGGCUAAUACCGCAUAACGUCGCAAGACCAAAGAGGGGGACCUUCGGGCCUCUUGCCAUCAGAUGUGCCCAGAUGGGAUUAGCUAGUUGGUGAGGUAACGGCUCACCAAGGCGACGAUCCCUAGCUGGUCUGAGAGGAUGACCAGCCACACUGGAACUGAGACACGGUCCAGACUCCUACGGGAGGCAGCAGUGGGGAAUAUUGCACAAUGGGCGCAAGCCUGAUGCAGCCAUGCCGCGUGUAUGAAGAAGGCCUUCGGGUUGUAAAGUACUUUCAGCGGGGAGGAAGGUGUUGUGGUUAAUAACCGCAGCAAUUGACGUUACCCGCAGAAGAAGCACCGGCUAACUCCGUGCCAGCAGCCGCGGUAAUACGGAGGGUGCAAGCGUUAAUCGGAAUUACUGGGCGUAAAGCGCACGCAGGCGGUCUGUCAAGUCGGAUGUGAAAUCCCCGGGCUCAACCUGGGAACUGCAUUCGAAACUGGCAGGCUUGAGUCUUGUAGAGGGGGGUAGAAUUCCAGGUGUAGCGGUGAAAUGCGUAGAGAUCUGGAGGAAUACCGGUGGCGAAGGCGGCCCCCUGGACAAAGACUGACGCUCAGGUGCGAAAGCGUGGGGAGCAAACAGGAUUAGAUACCCUGGUAGUCCACGCCGUAAACGAUGUCUACUUGGAGGUUGUGCCCUUGAGGCGUGGCUUCCGGAGCUAACGCGUUAAGUAGACCGCCUGGGGAGUACGGCCGCAAGGUUAAAACUCAAAUGAAUUGACGGGGGCCCGCACAAGCGGUGGAGCAUGUGGUUUAAUUCGAUGCAACGCGAAGAACCUUACCUGGUCUUGACAUCCACAGAAGAAUCCAGAGAUGGAUUUGUGCCUUCGGGAACUGUGAGACAGGUGCUGCAUGGCUGUCGUCAGCUCGUGUUGUGAAAUGUUGGGUUAAGUCCCGCAACGAGCGCAAC